GACGACGCUGGCGGCGCGCCUAACACAUGCAAGUCGAACGAGCGAGAGAGAGCUUGCUUUCUCGAGCAAGUGGCGAACGGGUGAGUAACGCGUGAGGAACCUGCCUCAAAGAGGGGGACAACAGUUGGAAACGACUGCUAAUACCGCAUAAGCCCACGGUGCCGCAUGGCACAGAGGGAAAAGGAGCAAUCCGCUUUGAGAUGGCCUCGCGUCCGAUUAGCUAGUUGGUGAGGUAAUGGCCCACCAAGGCAACGAUCGGUAGCCGGACUGAGAGGUUGAACGGCCACAUUGGGACUGAGACACGGCCCAGACUCCUACGGGAGGCAGCAGUGGGGAAUAUUGCACAAUGGGGGAAACCCUGAUGCAGCAACGCCGCGUGUGGGAAGAAGGUUUUCGGAUUGUAAACCACUGUUCUUGGUGAAGAUAAUGACGGUAACCAAGGAGAAAGCUCCGGCUAACUACGUG
RNAcentral lists this ribosomal RNA (465 nucleotides) under uncultured bacterium. Its description in RNAcentral is "bacterial SSU rRNA". It matches the Rfam family "Bacterial small subunit ribosomal RNA", at positions 33 to 507 of the family's 1533-position model. The record is from RNAcentral.